Molecule: ribosomal RNA, 518 nt
Filed under: Porphyromonas endodontalis
Lineage: Bacteria; Pseudomonadati; Bacteroidota; Bacteroidia; Bacteroidales; Porphyromonadaceae
Description: bacterial SSU rRNA
Rfam family: Bacterial small subunit ribosomal RNA
Source: RNAcentral
AGAGCCUGAACCAGCCAAGUUCGCGUGAAGGACGACGGUUCUAUGGAUUGUAAACUUCUUUUGUAGAGGAAUAAUGGCAGCUACGCGUAGCUGAGAUGCAUGUACUCUACGAAUAAGUAUCGGCUAACUCCGUGCCAGCAGCCGCGGUAAUACGGAGGAUACGAGCGUUAUCCGGAAUUAUUGGGUUUAAAGGGUGCGUAGGUGGCGUAUUAAGUCAGUGGUGAAAAGCUGCAGCUCAACUGUAGUCUUGCCGUUGAAACUGAUAUGCUAGAGAGGAGACGAGGUAUGCGGAAUGUGUGGUGUAGCGGUGAAAUGCAUAGAUAUCACACAGAACGCCGAUUGCGAAGGCAGCGUACCAGGCUCCGUCUGACACUGAAGCACGAAAGCGUGGGGAUCAAACAGGAUUAGAUACCCUGGUAGUCCACGCAGUAAACGAUGAAUACUAGAUUUUUUGCGAUAUAGUGUAAAGAGUCUAAGCGAAAGCGAUAAGUAUUCCACCUGGGGGAGUACGCCGGCAA